RNAcentral lists this ribosomal RNA (337 nucleotides) under uncultured Sphingobacteriales bacterium. RNAcentral describes it as "bacterial SSU rRNA". It matches the Rfam family "Bacterial small subunit ribosomal RNA", at positions 1046 to 1382 of the family's 1533-position model. The record is from RNAcentral. Lineage: Bacteria; Pseudomonadati; Bacteroidota; Sphingobacteriia; Sphingobacteriales.
UGGUUGUCGUCAGCUCGUGCCGUGAGGUGUCGGGUUAAGGUCCCAUAACGAGCGCAACCCCUACCUUUAGUUGCCAUCAGGUUAAGCUGGGGACUCUAAAGGAACUGCCUACGCAAGUAGUGAGGAAGCGGGGAUGACGUCAAAUCAGCACGGCCCUUACGUCCAGGGCUACACACGUGCUACAAUGGCCGAUACAGAGGGCAGCUACCUGGUGACAGGAUGCAAAUCUCCAAAGUCGGUCUCAGUUCGGAUCGGAGUCUGCAACCCGACUCCGUGAAGUUGGAUUCGCUAGUAAUCGCGCAUCAGCCAUGGCGCGGUGAAUACGUUCCCGGGCCUU